GCGGGCGUGGCGGAAAUGGUAGACGCAAGGGACUUAAAAUCCCUCGUCCCAAAAGGACGUACCGGUUCGAUCCCGGUCGCCCGCACCA
RNAcentral lists this transfer RNA (88 nucleotides) under Pseudomonadota bacterium. RNAcentral's name for it is "tRNA-Leu". It matches the Rfam family "tRNA". From Rfam's summary of the family: Transfer RNA (tRNA) molecules are approximately 80 nucleotides in length. The record is from RNAcentral. Lineage: Bacteria; Pseudomonadati; Pseudomonadota. RNAcentral also lists the same sequence under 1 other name.